UUCAGGUUAUGCAGGUCGUUGAGAGCAAUAUUAUCAUGAGGGAAGGCAGGAAAGAGGAAGGAUGUAUACCCGUCUUAUAGUCUGUAUGUACUCGUGGCCAAAUGGUGUUCGAGAGAUGGCGAAUAAGGAUUUGCUAGCAGCAUUGACGAACGAUAAUAUACUGCCGCAUGUAUAUGUAAAAGUGUUUUAUACACUGAAGCACUUCUAGUCAUAUUCGAAAAGGCUACCAACAUGCCAUAUGAAGUGGCUGAGAAAUUACCAUUUGGUUCCAUACAGAGGAAGUUCAUCUCAUCUUUAACGACUCGGACAGAGCAAAGAACAGAAAGGUUCUCUACACAUAAAAAGUAUAGAAAUAAUGAAGUUCACACUACAGUUGACAAUCUGGAUGUGUUUCCUUUGUUAUUUGAACAUGAUUUGUUAUAGCUUACACUACAAGUAUGGACUACAAUAUGAUAAAUCCAGACAUAGCAGACUUGUGUCUUUACAAAUUUAAAUUGUUCUCAGCUAAAGAGUGAAUGUAUUUCUUCUAAUCACUUAUGUGGGCAAGUUCGUUAAUUUUUGUUAUAUUCAUAGUCAAUCACAAACAGAUUUGUGAUUGAAAUAGUUGCCUUAUUUAAUGCUAUCCACAUAUUCAUACUCGUUAGGUAAAUAAGCCAUUUAUGCCUUAUAUGCCAGAGCCUUCAAUUAACUUGGGUGUAUUCUAUUUGUUUCAUCCACACAUUUGUCUUGUGACCAUUUUUGGAGGUUAAGUUGCGAGUCAAAAGCCUUUUUCACAACAUUAACUUAUUUGGGGAAAGUAUGUAUUUAUGACACUAUCUGUUCCUUCAUUCUGUUCAUUUUUUUGUAUGAACCAAGAUCAAAUGUGUCAUUUUAGUUUAAUCAUUUUAAACUGUAUUUAUUAUACUCUUCAUUGAAUAUUUGUAUAUUAUCAAACUUUUUUCAACAAAUUUAAACGUGUUGUUAUUUUGAUUAUAUUGUAUCAGUGUCAUAGGGUAUAUGUCCAUUCCCGGCCUUCAAGUUGAAACCAGAUAUAUUCUUUGUUGUAAAAUGUGUUCUUUAUGUUCAGAUCAUCUCUUAGAAACUAUUCUGAUUUCCUAACAAGGCUCAGGCUCAUGAGUUUUGUCUUCUAUUCUUGUCUCAUUUAAUUAAUUAUUUGUCCUAGUACUUCCACUGCGCAUCAGUGCUUACAAGUGUUAUGUGAUCUUAGUGAUAUGUUUGGGGGUUAGAUAUUCUUAGAAACAAAAGAUGGCCGUUCACUAGCUUUAUUCAUGAUAGUAUAUAUUCCGGAAGUACCGGUAUAAUAUUACACGCAUAAACAUAUAGAGUGGCUAU
This is a long non-coding RNA of Mya arenaria, 1332 nucleotides long. RefSeq lists it as uncharacterized. The transcript has 5 exons. NCBI's taxonomy places the organism in Eukaryota, Metazoa, Mollusca, Bivalvia, Myida, Myidae. The record is from RefSeq and is a predicted model, not a curated record.